This 121-nucleotide non-coding RNA is filed under the name unclassified sequences. The record is from Rfam.
GGCAAGGGCUUGCGCCCAGGCUUUCGGUACAUCGAAUGAAUUCACGGUGUUAGACCUUUCCCCGCGGGAGAGGGAACCGUUACGGAUUUAGCGCACUGAGCAAUCCACAAUGGUGCAGGCC